GACGAACGCUGGCGGCGUGCUUAACACAUGCAAGUCGAACGGGCCCGCUCUCUUUUUUGGGGGUGGGUUGCGUGGCGAACGGGUGAGUAUCACGUGAGUAACCUGCCCCCUGCUCCUGGAUAACUGCUUGAAAGGGCGGCUAAUACGGGGUGUGCCGGCUGGUCCGCAUGGGCCUGGUCGGGAUAGUUUCAUCUUCGGGUGUUUCGGUGGGGGAUGGGCUCGCGGCCUAUCAGCUUGUUGGUGGGGUGAUGGCCCACCAAGGCGGUGACGGGUAGCCGGCCGGAGAGGGUCGGCGGCCACACUGGGACUGAGACACGGCCCAGAGGCCUUCGGGAGGCAGCAGGGGGGGGUAUGGCGCAAGGGGCGGAAGCCUGAUGCAGCGACGUCGCGGGAGGGAUGGGGGCCUUCGGGUUGUGAACCUCUUUCUCCGGGGGGGAAGGCCCUGUCCGGUGCGGCGGGGUUGACGGUAGCCGGGGAUGAAGCGCCGGCUAACUACGUG
This 499-nucleotide ribosomal RNA is filed under the name uncultured bacterium. Its description in RNAcentral is "partial 16S ribosomal RNA". It matches the Rfam family "Bacterial small subunit ribosomal RNA", at positions 28 to 507 of the family's 1533-position model. The record is from RNAcentral.